Molecule: ribosomal RNA, 468 nt
Filed under: uncultured bacterium
Lineage: Bacteria
Description: partial 16S ribosomal RNA
Rfam family: Bacterial small subunit ribosomal RNA
Source: RNAcentral
GACGAACGCUGGCGGCGUGCUUAACCCAUGCAAGUCGAACGGAAAGGCCCUGCUUUUGUGGGGCGCUCGAGUGGCGAACGGGUGAGUAUCCCGUGAGUAUCCUGACCUUGACUUUGAGAUAACUUCAGGAAACUGGGGCUAAUAACGGCUAGGAGCUCCUGCCGCAUGGUGGGGGUUGGAAAGGUUCGGCGGUUGGGGAUGGACUCGCGGCUUAUCAGCUUGAUCGUGGGGUAGUGACUUACCAAGGCUUUGCCGGGUAGCCGGCCUGAGAGGGUGACCGGCCACAGUGGGACUGGGAUGCGGCCCAGACUCCUACGGGAGGCAGCAGUGGGGAGUAGUGCACAAUGGGCGGAAGCCUGAUGCAGCAACGCCGCGUGCGGGGUGACGGCCUUCGGGUUGUAAACCGCUUUCGCCUGUGACGAAGCGUGAGUGACGGUAAUGGGUAAAGAAGCACCGGCUAACUACGUG